This 2905-nucleotide ribosomal RNA is filed under the name Citrobacter freundii. Its description in RNAcentral is "23S ribosomal RNA". It matches the Rfam family "Bacterial large subunit ribosomal RNA". Lineage: Bacteria; Pseudomonadati; Pseudomonadota; Gammaproteobacteria; Enterobacterales; Enterobacteriaceae. The record is from RNAcentral.
GGUUAAGCGACUAAGCGUACACGGUGGAUGCCCUGGCAGUCAGAGGCGAUGAAGGACGUGCUAAUCUGCGAAAAGCGUCGGUAAGGUGAUAUGAACCGUUAUAACCGGCGAUGUCCGAAUGGGGAAACCCAGUGUGAUUCGUCACACUAUCGUUAACUGAAUACAUAGGUUAACGAGGCGAACCGGGGGAACUGAAACAUCUAAGUACCCCGAGGAAAAGAAAUCAACCGAGAUUCCCCCAGUAGCGGCGAGCGAACGGGGAGCAGCCCAGAGUCUGAAUCAGCUUGUGUGUUAGUGGAACGGUCUGGAAAGUCCGACGGUACAGGGUGAUAGUCCCGUACACCAAAAUGCACAGGUUGUGAACUCGAAGAGUAGGGCGGGACACGUGGUAUCCUGUCUGAAUAUGGGGGGACCAUCCUCCAAGGCUAAAUACUCCUGACUGACCGAUAGUGAACCAGUACCGUGAGGGAAAGGCGAAAAGAACCCCGGCGAGGGGAGUGAAAAAGAACCUGAAACCGUGUACGUACAAGCAGUGGGAGCACCUUCGGGUGUGACUGCGUACCUUUUGUAUAAUGGGUCAGCGACUUAUAUUCUGUAGCAAGGUUAACCGUAUAGGGGAGCCGAAGGGAAACCGAGUCUUAACUGGGCGUUAAGUUGCAGGGUAUAGACCCGAAACCCGGUGAUCUAGCCAUGGGCAGGUUGAAGGUUGGGUAACACUAACUGGAGGACCGAACCGACUAAUGUUGAAAAAUUAGCGGAUGACUUGUGGCUGGGGGUGAAAGGCCAAUCAAACCGGGAGAUAGCUGGUUCUCCCCGAAAGCUAUUUAGGUAGCGCCUCGUGAACUCAUCUUCGGGGGUAGAGCACUGUUUCGGCUAGGGGGUCAUCCCGACUUACCAACCCGAUGCAAACUGCGAAUACCGAAGAAUGUUAUCACGGGAGACACACGGCGGGUGCUAACGUCCGUCGUGAAGAGGGAAACAACCCAGACCGCCAGCUAAGGUCCCAAAGUCAUGGUUAAGUGGGAAACGAUGUGGGAAGGCACAGACAGCCAGGAUGUUGGCUUAGAAGCAGCCAUCAUUUAAAGAAAGCGUAAUAGCUCACUGGUCGAGUCGGCCUGCGCGGAAGAUGUAACGGGGCUAAACCAUGCACCGAAGCUGCGGCAGCGACACUAUGUGUUGUUGGGUAGGGGAGCGUUCUGUAAGCCGUUGAAGGUGGCCUGUGAGGGUUGCUGGAGGUAUCAGAAGUGCGAAUGCUGACAUAAGUAACGAUAAUGCGGGUGAAAAACCCGCACGCCGGAAGACCAAGGGUUCCUGUCCAACGUUAAUCGGGGCAGGGUGAGUCGACCCCUAAGGCGAGGCCGAAAGGCGUAGUCGAUGGGAAACAGGUUAAUAUUCCUGUACUUGGUGUUACUGCGAAGGGGGGACGGAGAAGGCUAUGUUAGCCGGGCGACGGUUGUCCCGGUUUAAGCAUGUAGGCGGAGGUUCCAGGUAAAUCCGGUACCUUUUUAACGCUGAGGUGUGAUGACGAGGCACUACGGUGCUGAAGUAACAAAUGCCCUGCUUCCAGGAAAAGCCUCUAAGCAUCAGGUAACACGAAAUCGUACCCCAAACCGACACAGGUGGUCAGGUAGAGAAUACCAAGGCGCUUGAGAGAACUCGGGUGAAGGAACUAGGCAAAAUGGUGCCGUAACUUCGGGAGAAGGCACGCUGAUAUGUAGGUGAAGUGAUUUACUCAUGGAGCUGAAAUCAGUCGAAGAUACCAGCUGGCUGCAACUGUUUAUUAAAAACACAGCACUGUGCAAACACGAAAGUGGACGUAUACGGUGUGACGCCUGCCCGGUGCCGGAAGGUUAAUUGAUGGGGUUAUCCGUAAGGAGAAGCUCUUGAUCGAAGCCCCGGUAAACGGCGGCCGUAACUAUAACGGUCCUAAGGUAGCGAAAUUCCUUGUCGGGUAAGUUCCGACCUGCACGAAUGGCGUAAUGAUGGCCAGGCUGUCUCCACCCGAGACUCAGUGAAAUUGAACUCGCUGUGAAGAUGCAGUGUACCCGCGGCAAGACGGAAAGACCCCGUGAACCUUUACUAUAGCUUGACACUGAACACUGGUCCUUGAUGUGUAGGAUAGGUGGGAGGCUUUGAAGUGUGGACGCCAGUCUGCAUGGAGCCAUCCUUGAAAUACCACCCUUUAAUGGCUGGUGUUCUAACGUGGACCCGUAAUCCGGGUUGCGGACAGUGUCUGGUGGGUAGUUUGACUGGGGCGGUCUCCUCCUAAAGAGUAACGGAGGAGCACGAAGGUUAGCUAAUCCUGGUCGGACAUCAGGAGGUUAGUGCAAAGGCAUAAGCUAGCUUGACUGCGAGAGUGACGGCUCGAGCAGGUGCGAAAGCAGGUCUUAGUGAUCCGGUGGUUCUGAAUGGAAGGGCCAUCGCUCAACGGAUAAAAGGUACUCCGGGGAUAACAGGCUGAUACCGCCCAAGAGUUCAUAUCGACGGCGGUGUUUGGCACCUCGAUGUCGGCUCAUCACAUCCUGGGGCUGAAGUAGGUCCCAAGGGUAUGGCUGUUCGCCAUUUAAAGUGGUACGCGAGCUGGGUUUAGAACGUCGUGAGACAGUUCGGUCCCUAUCUGCCGUGGGCGCUGGAGAAUUGAGGGGGCUGCUCCUAGUACGAGAGGACCGGAGUGGACGCAUCACUGGUGUUCGGGUUGUCAUGCCAAUGGCAUUGCCCGGUAGCUAAAUGCGGAAGAGAUAAGUGCUGAAAGCAUCUAAGCACGAAACUUGCCCCGAGAUGAGUUCUCCCUGAGACUAUAAGUCUCCUGAAGGAACGUUAAAGACGAUGACGUUGAUAGGUCGGGUGUGUAAGUGUAGCGAUACAUUGAGCUAACCGAUACUAAUGAACCGUGAGGCUUAACCUU